GAUAAUGGACAAUGGGGGCGACGCUGAUCCAGCCAUGCCGCGUGUGUGAAGAAGGUCUUCGGAUUGUAAAGCACUCUAAGUUGGGAGGAAGGGCAGUAAGUCAAUACCUUGCUGUUUUGACUUUACCAACAGAAUAACCACCGCCGAACUCCGAGCCAUCAGCCGCGGUAAGACGGAGGUUGCAAGCGUUAAUCGGAAUUACUGGGCGGAAAGCGCGCGUAGGUGGUUCAGUAAGAAGGGUGUGAAAUCCCCGGGCUUAACCUGGGAACUGCUUUCAUAACUGCUGGGCUAGAGUACGGUAGAGGGUAGUGGAAUUUCCUGUGUAGCGGUGAAAUGCGUAGAUAUAGGAAGGAACACCAGUGGCGAAGGCGACUACCUGGACUGAUACUGACACUGAGGUGCGAAAGCGUGGGGAGCAAAC
RNAcentral lists this ribosomal RNA (421 nucleotides) under uncultured bacterium. RNAcentral describes it as "partial 16S ribosomal RNA". It matches the Rfam family "Bacterial small subunit ribosomal RNA", at positions 359 to 773 of the family's 1533-position model. The record is from RNAcentral.